Molecule: unclassified non-coding RNA, 395 nt
Filed under: soil metagenome
Description: partial contains 5.8S ribosomal RNA, internal transcribed spacer 2, and large subunit ribosomal RNA
Rfam family: 5.8S ribosomal RNA (bases 1-122)
Source: RNAcentral
GAUGAAGAACGCAGCGAAAUGCGAUACUUGGUGUGAAUUGCAGAAUCCCGUGAACCAUCGAGUCUUUGAACGCAAGUUGCGCCCGAAGCCAUCAGGUUGAGGGCACGUCUGCCUGGGCGUCACAUAUCGUUGCCCAAUGCCUAUUGCAGUGCAAUAGGAAUUUCUAGGGCGAAUGAUGGCUUCCCGUGAGCGUUGUUGCCUCGCGGUUGGUGGAAAAUCGAGUCCUUGGUAGGGUGUGCCAUGGUAGAUGGUGGUCGAGUUAGAACGAUACCGAUCAUGUGCAUGCUCCCCAAAAUAUGGCCUCUAUGACCCACACGCGUCUUUUGACGCUCAUGACGAGACCUCAGGUCAGGCGGGGCUACCCGCUGAAUUUAAGCAUAUCAAUAAGCGGAGGA